AUGGCAUUUCAAUGCCAGGAGCGAAAUACGUGCAUUUUGACAGGAAACAUUGCAAAAGUUAAAUCAGAUUUAAAGGGACAAUUUACUCAAUUUUUUUUUCCCUGUGGAACACAAAAAAAAAAUAUUAGAAUAUUUAUGAAAAAUGUCUCUUUGUAAUCAGUAGAGUCCAAAUGCUGUUUUGGACCCCACUGACAUUCACUGUAAGAACAAAAACAUUCAUCAAAUUAUUUUAUUUUGUGUCUCACUGAAAAACGGAAGUCAUACAUGUUUGGAACAACAUCAGGAUGACCAUUUUGACAAAUGAUGACAAUUUUCAUUUUUGGGUGAACUGUCCCUUUAAACUAUGGUGCAACUCUGUGGCAUAAUUUAGUUUAUAACAGAAAUACUUGUCUGACAGCUUGGAAACAAAUUUGAAGACCAAAUAUGUUGAUUGAAAUCCACUUACAAAGCAAGUUCAUUGAGAAAAAUGGAGCUGCAUUAUAAGCAGGUGACUGUCGACAUGCUUUUUUUUUUUUUUAAAGUACAUUUCCUGUUGUAAUCAACAGCAUGCGAUGGAGAAUGUUGAUGGAGCUUAAGUUAUAUUUAACUCAGAACAUUCCUUUAAGGCAAAGCUUGAUUAGAACUCCAAACUUAACUAUUUCUUAUUCUGGUAAAGCAUAGUAAUCAAGUAUAAUUUAUUGAAGUGCAAGUCUGCUACCCCUUGUGGCUAGUCCCUCCUCGCUGACAUAGACAUAGCGAUGUAUGAAAGACCGGGUUACAUUAUUUGGCUGAGGAUUUGUCACCUCAAAUUGUCAUUACUGUCAUCGCUGCUGCACUAAUCCCAUCAUUACACAGGGGAUCCCCAGGAAGAGUUUAGAACGGAACAAAAAAUGAAAGGGUGAGCUGUAGGAGGAAGGCAAACGGGUAACAAUUGUUGCAUUAAGCUCAGGAUGAAGCGAAUCACCUGUUUUCAGCUUGAGAGUGCAAAAUGUUCAGGUAGGAAAUAACAUAAUACAUAUCAAUCGUCAUCAAGUAACUUCCCCACAGACACACCACACAAAAUGACCGUCCCGAUCCAAUCAGUUUAUGGGGGGUGUGUCUAGUGUCAUGUCCUGAAUGAUGAAAAAGUCUUGAUUUCAGUGAAAGUUCAUGAAGAUCACCACAGACACUGUUUAAA
This is a long non-coding RNA of Cyprinus carpio (common carp), 1156 nucleotides long. The record is from Ensembl. NCBI's taxonomy places the organism in Eukaryota, Metazoa, Chordata, Actinopteri, Cypriniformes, Cyprinidae.